CCCUUAGAUGUUCUGGGCUGCACGCGCGCUACACUGAUGCGCUCAACGAGUUUAUGACCUUGCCCGGAAGGGUUGGGUAAUCUUCUUAAAACGCAUCGUGAUGGGGAUAGAUUAUUGCAAUUAUUAAUCUUCAACGAGGAAUUCCUAGUAAGCGCGAGUCAUCAGCUCGUGCUGAUUACGUCCCUGCCCUUUGUACACACCGCCCGUCGCACCUACCGAUUGAAUGAUCCGGUGAAGCCUCGGGAUUGUGCCCAGAGAACUUUAUUGUGAUUUGGGUGUGAGAACUUGUCUAAACCUUAUCAUUUAGAGGAAGGUGAAGUCGUAACA
This 327-nucleotide ribosomal RNA is filed under the name uncultured eukaryote. RNAcentral describes it as "partial 18S ribosomal RNA". It matches the Rfam family "Eukaryotic small subunit ribosomal RNA", at positions 1470 to 1796 of the family's 1831-position model. The record is from RNAcentral.